UCUAGACGACUUCCAACAAUUCAGACGACUCAGACGAUUUACUGGGGCUAUAUUCGUAAAAAUGGCUUCUGUUUUUUUGUUUGGUCACAAGGGGCUGAGCUGUAAUUUCACUAGGCUUUUAGGUUAGUUUUGCAUUUGAUUCAAGUUUGGGUAUAGGUUUGGGAUUAAAAUCAAGUUGUGGGUUAGUUUUGGCAAAAACCCCUUCAUUAUUUGCUUAAAUUCGAAACCACUAACUAUAUUAGUUAAAUGAAUAGAUUAGACUUUUAGAGUUAUUAAUAUUCCUUAUAAGUUUAUGGUCGUGUUCUUACUCCAUUUUUUUCCUGGACGGGUGACCUAACUCCUUGAACUUGAGUUUUCAAUCGCGAGAUAAAAAAAGAAAUAUACAGUUAUAUUUUACGUAAAUAUGUAUGGACUAUGACAAAAUGCUAGAUGUGAGUAAUUGAGUUACGUUACAGAAGAGACUUGGCGACCUCUCUCGACCCACGUUUUGGUCCCCGAAAUUAAUCUUUUGGCCCUAUAUAAAAUAUUUUUCUGAGUCCAUUUCUGGAUCGAAAUUGGGAAGGCCUUCAACGAUCAUGUGAGAUACGCAUUCACUAAAAACAUUACCUAACUAGCUAGUUAAAUAAUUGAACGAAAGCACUAGAUGAUUGGUUUCCUGAUAUUUGAUGUUUUAUAUAACGUAUAUGUAUUUCAUUAAAAUAAACAAAAUAGAUAGACAGAAGAAAGAUCCAGUAAACAUGCUUGGAUAAAGUAAUGAGAACAUAUAAAUAUUUUAAUCAAUUAAUUUUGUUGUUAUCGAAACGUGGAAUGUAUAAAUAUUUUAUAGUACGUGAUUACUCAAUCAUGCAUCCUUCAGCACCAGCAUCUGUAUAUACGGCCUAAACCUAAGCACUGAUUAAUAUGUACAAAAGAAACGUCAAAGCCUGUAUAAUAAGCAAAUAAAACAUGUUGCUAGUUAUUAUAAUUAUGAUAUCUAAAUUUUAAUUUCCAAAAAUAUAUAAAUUAAUUUUCAAAUAAUUUUAGUUAUCUUUUCUACGGAUUACAAUAGGCGCUAAACGUAAAUAUUCGGAAUACAAUUUUCAGUUAUGUAGGUUUUUUGGUCAAAAAAAGUAUUACAAAUUUUCUAAGGUUGGAUAGCACAAAGCGGUAUGAAACAUGUGAUUGUUAACCGAAAGCUCGUAGCUUGAUGGUAAAGUGCUCACGGCUGUGAGUUUUGCCACCUAUGUUAAUUAAAUAUGUGAUUGUUGUAGUCAAUUAUUGCUGGUUAAAUAGGCUGCGAUUUUGGACUUUUUAGUUAACAAAAUUCUGUGUACAUACAGACAGAUUAAUGUAAUGGCUGUGUGGGUUGUCUUUGAAACAGUGGCUAGUUGAUACAUACAAUACCCCCAGAUACUUUUAAUGGUGUUUAUUACCCUUUUUUCUCUUCUUCUUGCUGGAUUCUUCGUCUACCACCGCAAUAUCUGCUUAACUAACAAAAAAACUAUUGAGACAUUAAGUGGAGAGAAUAAAUGGAGAGGACUUUGGAGAAGAAGAUGGGCGAAGCAAAGGCAAGUGCUGCUACUCUCAAUGCAGUCAUGACCAACACGGAGCUGGAACUUUAAGUAAAUGGAGAGGACUUUGAUCCGAGGCCAUCACUGCCAAGCGGAAUAUAUAUGAUAAAGAAAAUACAGGAAGAUUUCCGAAAUUGUUUUUCCAUUAAUCAUUAUCUUCAAGACAAGCUUUCCGGAAACCAUAUAUAAAACUGAAUAGCUUUAGUCUUUAUGUAGUGAAAUAGGUUCCAGUUCAAAAACGUUUUUUUUUUACACAUCUGAUACAUCUACUUGACUUUAUUAUAUUUAGUUUCUAUUAAUUUGUUAAUCUAUU
This is a long non-coding RNA of Brassica rapa (field mustard), 1863 nucleotides long. RefSeq lists it as uncharacterized. Lineage: Eukaryota; Viridiplantae; Streptophyta; Magnoliopsida; Brassicales; Brassicaceae. The record is from RefSeq and is a predicted model, not a curated record.